AAAUAUUGUUAAUAUUUUGGGUGUCUGAAUUUUAAAUUAUUUUUAGUUAACUAUCAAAUUGAUCAAAAUUUUAUUUUUAUUAUUUUAUUUUUCAAUUUGUUUGAUUUGAGAUUGUCUAGGUUACUUAAUAUAGUAUUCUUUGUGCAAUUUUUGUAAUUAUAAAUUUAUCAAAGUAGGUAAUUAACUUAAAUUUAAAGUCAAAAUAUCGUUGGCUAAUUCAAAUUAAAUAAAUUGAAAGAUUGUUCGGCAAAAUUAAAAUUUUAAAAGGUUGGAUAACCGAUUCAAAAUCGUUGAUAGUUCAGAUAUAUAAGUGCUUUAUAUUUUAACAUUUUAAAAUUAAAAGCUAUACUAGAUAAGAUAUUGCAGGUGUUAAAAGUGUUGUUAAUUGUUUUUGUAUAUAUAUAUAUAUAUUUCUGAGAGUAUAAUUUUAGGAUAAAUAUUUUGAAAUUAAAAGAUAUGUCCGAUGAAUCUAUAUAUACAUUCAAACUGUUAGCGGUGUCGUUAAUAUUUAUAUUCAACACUUCUCCUUAUAUCUGAUUUGAGACUUUUUUAAAAUCACUACUUACACAAUAAAAAUUUAUGGUAAAAUAUAAGGUGAAAAGUCAUGAUCUCACAGAACAAAUGAAUUUAUAUUUUGUUCUAAUAUUUAUUUAUGUUUAUUAUGUUAUAUAAAUGAUUAAUUUAGUAGAAAAUAGGCCUGAAAAUAUAUGUAUAUUAACGUAAACGAGUAGAUUUUAAGAACUUGUUUAAAUGUUGAAAUAAGUAAUACAGUGAUAA
This 777-nucleotide long non-coding RNA is filed under the name Ananas comosus (pineapple). RNAcentral describes it as "long non-coding RNA (ACOM_LNC016219)". Lineage: Eukaryota; Viridiplantae; Streptophyta; Magnoliopsida; Poales; Bromeliaceae. The record is from RNAcentral.